CCUCCAUCACGCAAGCGCACUAGAGAGUUUCUGAGUGUCCGGAGGCCGCGAAGAACUACAUUUCCCAAUGCCCUUAAGCAACGGAAGUGAUGUAAAUAGCAGACAUAGUUGGAGGGUUCGGGUAAAAAUGGCCGAAUAUUUAGCUUCGAUAUUCGGGACUGAGAAGGACAAGGUUAACUGCUCUUUUUACUUUAAGAUCGGGGCCUGCCGGCAUGGGGACCGGUGCUCCCGGCUUCACAACAAACCGACUUUCAGCCAGACCAUAGUACUGCUCAACCUGUACCGGAAUCCACAGAACACUGCCCAAACCGCAGACGGAUCGCACUGUCACGUGAGCGACGUGGAGGUGCAAGAACACUAUGAUAACUUCUUCGAGGAAGUGUUCACAGAACUGCAGGAGAAGUACGGGGAGAUUGAAGAGAUGAAUGUGUGCGACAACCUGGGGGAUCACCUCGUGGGCAAUGUUUAUGUCAAGUUUCGGCGCGAGGAGGAUGCAGAGCGGGCAGUGGCUGAACUCAAUAACCGCUGGUUCAACGGGCAGGCUGUGCAUGCCGAGCUGUCUCCCGUCACUGACUUCCGGGAGUCGUGCUGUCGGCAGUAUGAGAUGGGGGAAUGUACCCGGGGUGGUUUCUGCAACUUCAUGCACCUGCGACCUAUCUCCCGCAACCUCCGGCGGCAGCUCUAUGGGCGGGGACCCAGGCGCAGGUCACCCCCAAGGUCCCAUACUGGCCACCGUCCCCGAGAAAGAAAUCGACGACGGUCCCCAGACCACCGGCAUGGCCGUUUCUGAGAUGCUGACCUCCUUGCCCUCCACCCCUGGCAGGCACAUAUGUUCCUGGCCAGGACCCCUCCUCAAAGCUCCCUUAACUCCCUAGUGCCAUCUUUUCCAGGCUCCGGGUCUCCAUGAUGUAAUACCUUCAACACAGGGACCUUCUAUCGCCCCGCCCCUAAUAAAGUUCUAUAUUGAGGGUUUAGAGCUUCGUUGUUAGCUUGAGCCUGGCUGUGGGCUGGUUUCCUUCCACCCCCACAUCUGCUGAUGAAAAGGGGAAGUAGGGCUGGGCUCUGGCCACAACCUCAGCCAAGGAACUUCCAACAACAGGUGGGAAAGCAGCAUGCCCAGGGUCCUAGAAACCCCCAAGUGGGACUGGUUGGGUGGGGUUGCCUUUGUGCUGAAACUUCAGCACGUCCAUCAGAGGAUUCUCAAGGGGGAGAUGCUUGGUUGUGGCAGGUUGGAGGAUUCCCAGUCUGGAGGAGAUUGGGGUUAGGAGCUAAGGUAAGAUUGCUGGGAGUUGGGUGGGAGUCCCCAGUGGGUGAUGGCUGGGUCCUCUAUGCCCACUGCCCUGAGAUGGGAAUAGGUAGUACCUAAUACUUAAGCUUACUCUAUGCCAGGUGCCAGGUGUUCUAAAUGCUCUACUUCCAGUAAUGGUUUUACUUCUCCACAAUAACCUUCUAAGACAGGUACUAUUAUUAUCCCAUUUUACAGAUGGGAAAAGAGAGGGCAAGAAGAUGGCAGAGAUGGGAUAUAAAUCCACGCAGUCCGGCUCCAGAGUCCUCGCUGUAGCCAUCUUGAGGCCUUGUGGCCUCUCUGAUAACGGGCCAGGAGCUGGUCUGGGGGCUGGAGAGUAGAUUCCUGGCUUCCAAAGGGGACUGGGGAUCCUAUGCCCCCACAUCCACUGCUUCCUUCUUCUGACCCGGUUUCCUGGCAAGUGCGGCAGAGGCGCUGUGGCAGGAAGUCCUGUGGUCAUGGCCCCCCAGAAGGCAGGCUCCGCCAGGAUGGGGCCCCUAGGCCUCCUCCUGACUGCCGUGCUGCUCCUGGCCCAGGCGGCGCCGAGGAAGGCCUCUCAGCACUGCAGCCGCCUCGAGUACUGGAACCCUGACGACCUGUGCAGUGGCAGCUGCCUGCAGCGCUUCGGGCCGCCCCCUGCUCGGACUGAAUUUUCGGAAAACUGCCGGCCGGAUGAUGCGGGCAAUCACGUAACGCACCCCUUCAAAGAGUGUCCUCCUGGGCAGUGCAACCCCAACACCGAGGGGCUAGGUAGCCCUUGUGGCGGCGGAGCAACGGCCCCCACUUCCUUGGGGAGCCGCGGCGGGACCCGGAGGCGCGGCAGACAGAAGCCGGUCCCUAACAAGGAGCCCUGCCCCCUGACACGUGGAAAACUGAGCGUCCUUAGUUCCCAGGAGCCCAGCUCACCGGCGAUCCCCAGUCUCCCGUGGACAUCUGAGCACAAAGUCCCUCAGCAGGCCUGGCCGAGUUGGAGUUUUGACCUGUCCCUGGUGCUGGUUCUGCUCGUGACCUCAGCAGUAAUUCUCCUGCUCGCCCUGCAAAGGCACCGCCGUCGCCACCACCAGGGGAAGGCCGUCCAACACCCCUAUCCUGGCUUGGUUUGCAACGACCUGAACACCCACAUCCUAUUCUCCUUGCACUCGUCCCCUCCAGGCUCCCUGGAGGCUUCAGAGGCAGGGUACUCAGGGAAGGAGGUCCCUCUGCCUCCACUCCUAGGCAGGGAGCUGCCAAGUCUGGAAUCACAGCCGCUGUCUCGCCUCCUGGAUGAGCUGGAAGUGCUGGAGGAGCUGAUCGUGCUGCUGGAUCCUGAGCCUGGGCCAGGUUGGGGGAGAGCCUGUGGCAGCACUCGACACCUGGCUGCAAAAUAUGGACUGCCUGCUGCCUGGUCCACUCCCGCCUACUCCCUGCGGCCCAGUCGCUGGCCUCGGCGGGCCGUGAUGGAGAUGGUGGUGGCAAGGGAGCCCUCUGCCUCUCUGGGCCAGCUUGGCGCACACCUGCCCAGAGAGGGCGGGCAGAUGCACUGCGGGUGCUGUCCAAGCUUGGCUGAGCUGGGGCCUGCCCGGCCUAGUACCCGAUAAAAAUAAAGUUUCCAUUGAA
RNA transcript from Balaenoptera musculus (blue whale), 2881 nucleotides. It is a transcript of the gene named U2 small nuclear RNA auxiliary factor 1 like 4, with no coding region annotated. The transcript is spliced from 11 exons. The record is from RefSeq and is a predicted model, not a curated record. NCBI's taxonomy places the organism in Eukaryota, Metazoa, Chordata, Mammalia, Artiodactyla, Balaenopteridae.